AUUGAACGCUAGCGGGAUGCUUUACACAUGCAAGUCGAACGGGGUGGCGGACGGGUGAGUAAUAUAUCGGAACGUGCCCAGGAGAUGGGGAUCACUACUCUUAAGAGUUGCUACUAACGCAUAGUGUGGGCGCGGCCGGUAUCGGAUGAGCUAGUUGGAGGGGUAACGGAUCAACAAGGCAACGAACCGGAGCUGGUUUGAGAGGAGGACCAGCCACACUGGGACUGAGACACGGCCCAGACUCCUACGGGAGGCAGCAGUGGGGAAUUUUGGACAAUGGGGGAAACCCUGAUCCAGCCAUCCCGCGUGGAUGAUGAAGGCCUUCGGGUUGUAAAGUACUUUUGGCAGAGAAGCGGUAUCUGCAGAAUAAGCACCGGCUAACUACGUGCCAGCAGCCGCGGUAAUAC
RNAcentral lists this ribosomal RNA (407 nucleotides) under uncultured bacterium. Its description in RNAcentral is "partial 16S ribosomal RNA". It matches the Rfam family "Bacterial small subunit ribosomal RNA", at positions 30 to 526 of the family's 1533-position model. The record is from RNAcentral.